Molecule: ribosomal RNA, 245 nt
Filed under: uncultured bacterium
Lineage: Bacteria
Description: partial 16S ribosomal RNA
Rfam family: Bacterial small subunit ribosomal RNA
Source: RNAcentral
GCAAGUCGAGCGCGAAAGGCCUUCGGGUUGAGUAGAGCGGCGGACGGGUGAGUAACGCGUAGGAAUCUAUCCAGUAGUGGGGGACAACAUGGGGAAACUCAUGCUAAUACCGCAUACGCCCUACGGGGGAAAGGAGGGGACUCUUCGGAGCCUUCCACUAUCGGAUGAGCCUGCGUGAGAUUAGCUUGUUGGUGAGGUAAGAGCUCACCAAGGCGACGAUCUCUAGCUGGUCUGAGAGGAUGAUC